Molecule: transfer RNA, 75 nt
Filed under: Chloracidobacterium sp.
Lineage: Bacteria; Pseudomonadati; Acidobacteriota; Blastocatellia; Chloracidobacteriales; Chloracidobacteriaceae
Description: tRNA-Cys
Rfam family: tRNA
About the family: Transfer RNA (tRNA) molecules are approximately 80 nucleotides in length. Their secondary structure includes four short double-helical elements and three loops (D, anti-codon, and T loops). Further hydrogen bonds mediate the characteristic L-shaped molecular structure. tRNAs have two regions of fundamental functional importance: the anti-codon, which is responsible for specific mRNA codon recognition, and the 3' end, to which the tRNAs corresponding amino acid is attached (by aminoacyl-tRNA synthetases). tRNAs cope with the degeneracy of the genetic code in two manners: having more than one tRNA (with a specific anti-codon) for a particular amino acid; and 'wobble' base-pairing, i.e. permitting non-standard base-pairing at the 3rd anti-codon position.
Source: RNAcentral
GGCGGCGUAGCCAAGUGGUAAGGCGAAGGUCUGCAAAAUCUUUAUGCGCUGGUUCGAUUCCAGCCGCCGCCUCCA